GAUGAAGAACGUAGCGAAACGCGAUAAGUAAUGUGAAUUGCAGAAUCCAGUGAAUCAUCGAAUCUUUGAACGCACAUUGCGCCCGCCAGCAUUCUGGCGGGCAUGCCUGUUCGAGCGUCAUUACGCCCCUCAAGUCCCCUGUGGACUUGGUGUUGGGGAUCGGCGAGGCUGGUUUUCCAGCACAGCCGUCCCUUAAAUUAAUUGGCGGUCUCGCCGUGGCCCUCCUCUGCGCAGUAGUAAAACACUCGCAACAGGAGCCCGGCGCGGUCCACUGCCGUAAAACCCCCCAACUUUUUAUAGUUGACCUCGAAUCAGGUAGGACUACCCGCUGAACUUAAGCAUAUCAAUAAGCGGAGGA
Molecule: unclassified non-coding RNA, 358 nt
Filed under: soil metagenome
Description: partial contains 5.8S ribosomal RNA, internal transcribed spacer 2, and large subunit ribosomal RNA
Rfam family: 5.8S ribosomal RNA (bases 1-120)
Source: RNAcentral